RNAcentral lists this ribosomal RNA (279 nucleotides) under uncultured bacterium. RNAcentral describes it as "partial 16S ribosomal RNA". It matches the Rfam family "Bacterial small subunit ribosomal RNA", at positions 506 to 784 of the family's 1533-position model. The record is from RNAcentral.
UGCCAGCCGCCGCGGUAAUACGGAGGGUGCAAGCGUUAAUCGGAAUUACUGGGCGUAAAGCGCGCGUAGGUGGAUUAUUAAGUCAGAUGUGAAAGCCCAGGGCUUAACCUUGGAACUGCAUUUGAUACUGGUAAUCUUGAGUACAGUAGAGGGAGGUGGAAUUUCAGGUGUAGCGGUGAAAUGCGUAGAUAUCUGAAGGAACAUCAGUGGCGAAGGCGACCUUCUGGACUGAUACUGACACUGAGGUGCGAAAGCGUGGGGAGCGAACAGGAUUAGAUA